Molecule: ribosomal RNA, 517 nt
Filed under: uncultured bacterium
Lineage: Bacteria
Description: bacterial SSU rRNA
Rfam family: Bacterial small subunit ribosomal RNA
Source: RNAcentral
UAGUCCACGCCGUAAACGAUGGAUACUAGGUGUAGGAGGUAUCGACCCCUCCUGUGCCGUCGCUAACGCAAUAAGUAUCCCACCUGGGGAGUACGGUCGCAAGACUGAAACUCAAAGGAAUUGACGGGGGCCCGCACAAGCAGUGGAGUAUGUGGUUUAAUUCGAGGCAACGCGAAGAACCUUACCAGGGCUUGACAUCGCCUGACAACCCAAGAGAUUGGGCGUCCCUUCGGGGCAGGUAGACAGGUGGUGCAUGGUUGUCGUCAGCUCGUGUCGUGAGAUGUUGGGUUAAGUCCCGCAACGAGCGCAACCCUUGCCGUCAGUUGCCAUCAUUAAGUUGGGAACUCUGGCGGGACUGCCGGUGAUAAAUCGGAGGAAGGUGGGGAUGACGUCAAAUCAUCAUGCCCCUUAUGUCCUGGGGCUACACACGUACUACAAUGGCGUAUACAGAGGGGCAGCUAGCUGGCGAUAGUAAGCGAAUCCCAAAAAGUACGUCGUAGUCCGGGAUUGGGAGUCU